This 497-nucleotide ribosomal RNA is filed under the name uncultured bacterium. Its description in RNAcentral is "partial 16S ribosomal RNA". It matches the Rfam family "Bacterial small subunit ribosomal RNA", at positions 28 to 507 of the family's 1533-position model. The record is from RNAcentral.
GAUGAACGCUGGCGGCGUGCCUAAUACAUGCAAGUCGAGCGAACAGACGAAGAGCUUGCUCCUCUGACGUUAGCGGCGGACGGGUGAGUAACACGUGGAUAACCUACCUAUAAGACUGGGAUAACUUCGGGAAACCGGAGCUAAUACCGGAUAAUAUAUUGAACCGCAUGGUUCAAUAGUGAAAGACGGUUUUGCUGUCACUUAUAGAUGGAUCCGCGCCGCAUUAGCUAGUUGGUAAGGUAACGGCUUACCAAGGCGACGAUGCGUAGCCGACCUGAGAGGGUGAUCGGCCACACUGGAACUGAGACACGGUCCAGACUCCUACGGGAGGCAGCAGUAGGGAAUCUUCCGCAAUGGGCGAAAGCCUGACGGAGCAACGCCGCGUGAGUGAUGAAGGUCUUCGGAUCGUAAAACUCUGUUAUUAGGGAAGAACAAAUGUGUAAGUAACUAUGCACGUCUUGACGGUACCUAAUCAGAAAGCCACGGCUAACUACGUG